Molecule: ribosomal RNA, 103 nt
Filed under: Symbiodinium microadriaticum
Lineage: Eukaryota; Dinophyceae; Suessiales; Symbiodiniaceae
Description: 5.8S ribosomal RNA
Rfam family: 5.8S ribosomal RNA
About the family: 5.8S ribosomal RNA (5.8S rRNA) is a component of the large subunit of the eukaryotic ribosome.
Source: Rfam by way of RNAcentral
AGGGCGCUGCGAAGUGCGAUAAUCGUUAUGCUCCGUGAACCAAUGGCCUCUUGAACGUGCAUUUCGCUCUUGGGAUAUGCCUGAGAGCACGUCUGCUUCAGUG